RNAcentral lists this long non-coding RNA (225 nucleotides) under Ananas comosus (pineapple). RNAcentral's name for it is "long non-coding RNA (ACOM_LNC007531)". Lineage: Eukaryota; Viridiplantae; Streptophyta; Magnoliopsida; Poales; Bromeliaceae. The record is from RNAcentral.
UACCGUCAUUUGAUCAAACUAUCAGAUUUAGCUCUAGGAGCCGUAGUUUGUUUGUAUCGCCACAGUUUGUGGGCGGUGGAUACCCAGAAUAGUGUAGAAUAAUUUUACGCUCAUGAUGAAAUGCCGAGUUUAUUUUUACAGUAUUGUUCAGACUGUUCCGGAUUGUUGGGUGCCGUUGGGGUUGACGGUGGACCCAGAUUACUGUUUUUGCAUUAGAUUGUGCCG